Nicotiana tabacum (common tobacco) is the source of this 1446-nucleotide long non-coding RNA. RefSeq lists it as uncharacterized. NCBI's taxonomy places the organism in Eukaryota, Viridiplantae, Streptophyta, Magnoliopsida, Solanales, Solanaceae. The record is from RefSeq and is a predicted model, not a curated record.
UUCACGGUCAAAAUUUAGAAGUUUAACUCUCGAAAUCUGAACGGUGCCACAUAAGUUAGGGACGCAUGGAGUAUAUACAUUGUUCCGGGUACAUGGACGGAAUAUGAAUAUUUAAUUAUAUUCCAAAUGGGAGAUGGAAUUACAAAACCAAAAAAGAAAGGCAAAAAGGGACGAAAUAACCCAAGUCCUUCAUGGCAAAAUAUUUACUGAGACGGGGAAUAAAUUGAGUGAGAAGAGAUCCGUUGUCACCGGUUAAGAUGAUGUCAUCAACAUAAAGGCAAAAGGAUGAUACAGCCAGUAGAGGAAUGGUGAAAAAAGAUAGAUGGAGGUAUCUGCAACACUCUGACGAAAGCCACUUUGGAGAAGAUAGGUACUGAACCGUUGAAAGCAUGCCAAUUGUGCUUGAUGAAGACCAACAAUGGCCUUAUGAAAGCGACAAAGAUGAGUAUGCUUAGAAGGAUCAACAAAUCCAGGAGGUUGUUGCAUGUAUACCUCUUAAAGUCAAAGACCAUGGAGGAAGGCAUUUUUCACGUCAAGUUGGCGAACGGGCCAAUUUCGUGAGAUGGCAACAACUAGAACUGAAUUUAGUAGUCCAGAAUGGUAAAGAAAACCAUAAUGGACUAAAUUGAUGAGAGGCAUCCUUUCUUUAAGCGGUCCAUAUCUUGGCCACCACAUCAUUUUGAACUAUUCAAGGACUGGUCCAAUAUUGAAGCAUGUAUCGAAUAUGUAUGAUUGUAGUCUUAAUUUGAAUACCGCUCUGUGGGGAUCUCGAAGAAUGCAUUUUUGUAGUCCAAGUAAAAGAUAGGCAUACAUCAAGAUCUAUGGGUUCGGCCACGCAAGAAAUGCGUCCGGGUUCAUUUUUGAAAGAUGGUCCCCAAUCUUUCCAUGGUAUAACCAUUCUGAUAAAAGAUGCGUCAUAGAGCAGCUAAAGACCAAAUUGAACUUAAAUACAUAAUGCUAUUUCCUAAUCACUCAAAAUGAUAAGUUUUUCCAAUUAAGUGGGGUCCAAACAAAUCAGUAGCCAUUAGACAUAAAAUACCUUUCCUCUGUAGUUGGGUCUUUACAGUUGCAAAGAAACCAAACAAAUAGCUAAGUUUAGUUCUUCAAGAGCUCUCGGCCAAGACCCCUUCCAACGCCAUCCAAGAUUGACAUUGUUGGGCAUCAUUGGACAACCGGCGCGAUAUUUAGCUUAUUUAAAGAGAUUUCGAGGUUGAGCGGUUGGUCAGGCGCAGGACGGUCAGUGUACGAGCUAGGAUUCCUGUAGCUUUAUGCUUUUAGAGCCCGCCUUUGACUUCGUUAGAAUACUCUAUUCAAUUACUUCCUCUUGUAUGCGGGCUAGACCCGUUAUUUUAUCCCUUUAUUCAUAGCGUCCUAGAGGGUUCACAGAUGAACUACGUAAUAUUUUGGGUUAUAGACUCUAAUUGAAAUGGUAUUUAGUUCACUUUA